This 253-nucleotide ribosomal RNA is filed under the name uncultured bacterium. RNAcentral's name for it is "partial 16S ribosomal RNA". It matches the Rfam family "Bacterial small subunit ribosomal RNA", at positions 524 to 776 of the family's 1533-position model. The record is from RNAcentral.
UACGGGGGGGGCAAGCGUUGUUCGGAAUUACUGGGCGUAAAGGGCUCGUAGGUGGCCAACUAAGUCGGACGUGAAAUCCCUCGGCUUAACCGGGGAACUGCGCUUGAUACUGGAUGGCUUGAGAUUGGGAGAGGGAUGCGGAAUUCCAGGUGUAGCGGUGAAAUGCGUAGAUAUCUGGAGGAACACCGGUGGCGAAGGCGGCAUCCUGGACCAACACUGACGCUGAGGAGCGAAAGCCAGGGGAGCAAACGGG